GCAUUGGUGGUUCAGUGGUAGAAUUCUCGCCUACUACGCGGAAGACCUGGGUCUGAUUCCCGGCCAAUGCA
Danio rerio (zebrafish) is the source of this 71-nucleotide non-coding RNA. NCBI's taxonomy places the organism in Eukaryota, Metazoa, Chordata, Actinopteri, Cypriniformes, Danionidae. The record is from Rfam.